UAGGACAAAGAGAUANAAAUUAUNAAUANNANAUAAAGUUUUAUCCCUGGGCUCCAGGCCAAACGCUGGCCGGGUGAUUUAAAAACAUCCCAAUUUGGGANAAAAGGCCCCUUUCCGGGGUACUACGAGUGGAGUGGGGUUGAGUAANCUUGUGGGUAAUCCGCCCCUGCUUUUUGGUAUAACCUGGAAACCGGGGUCUANACCNAAAAAGNCCCCCCUUUUUCNUUGNUGUGUGGGGAAAAGUUUUUNCCGGUAAGAAAUUGGCCCCNCGGCCUAUCAGCUUGUGGUUGGGGUAUUGGCCUACCCAGGCGGGGGACGGGUAUCCCGGCCAAAAAGGGUGUGGGGGCCUNUUGCAAAAGGGUUUUUNANAA
This 371-nucleotide ribosomal RNA is filed under the name Mycolicibacterium smegmatis. RNAcentral's name for it is "partial 16S ribosomal RNA". Lineage: Bacteria; Bacillati; Actinomycetota; Actinomycetes; Mycobacteriales; Mycobacteriaceae. The record is from RNAcentral.